GAACGCACAUUGCGCCCCUUGGUAUUCCGAGGGGCAUGCCUGUUCGAGCGUCAUUAUAACCCCUCAAGCUCAGCUUGGUGUUGGGGCCUGCCGCACGGGCAGCCCUUAAAAUCAGUGGCGGUGCCAUCUGGCUCUAAGCGUAGUAAUUCUUCUCGCUAUAGAGUCACGGUGGAUGCUUGCCAUUAACCCCCAAUUUUCAAUGGUUGACCUCGGAUCAGGUAGGGAUACCCGCUGAACUUAAG
RNAcentral lists this unclassified non-coding RNA (242 nucleotides) under uncultured Helotiales. RNAcentral describes it as "sequence contains 5.8S rRNA gene". The stretch from base 1 to 53 matches the Rfam family "5.8S ribosomal RNA", at positions 102 to 154 of the family's 154-position model. The record is from RNAcentral. Lineage: Eukaryota; Fungi; Ascomycota; Leotiomycetes; Helotiales.